This 964-nucleotide ribosomal RNA is filed under the name Pseudosermyle sp. 0061. RNAcentral describes it as "SSU rRNA". It matches the Rfam family "Eukaryotic small subunit ribosomal RNA", at positions 416 to 1323 of the family's 1831-position model. Lineage: Eukaryota; Metazoa; Arthropoda; Insecta; Phasmatodea; Diapheromeridae. The record is from RNAcentral.
CCAGGAAGCAGCAGGCACGCAAAUUACCCACUCCCGGCACGGGGAGGUAGUGACGAAAAAUAACGAUACGGGACUCAUCCGAGGCCCCGUAAUCGGAAUGAGCACACUUUAAAGACUUUAACGAGUAUCCAUUGGAGGGCAAGUCUGGUGCCAGCAGCCGCGGUAAUUCCAGCUCCAAUAGCGUAUAUUAAAGUUGUUGCGGUUAAAAAGCUCGUAGUUGGACUUGUGUCCCACGCUGUCGGUUCACAGUUCGUCUGUGUCUAACUGGCAUGCCGUGGGGACGUCCUGCUGGUGGAUGCGGUCGGCCGCGUGCUUCGGCGCGCGCGUCGGCGGUCCGGUGCAAUCCUACCGCGGUGCUCUUCACCGAGUGUCGAGGUGGGCCAGCACAUUUACUUUGAACAAAUUAGAGUGCUUAAAGCAGGCAUGUGGUCGCCUGAAUACUGUGUGCAUGGAAUAAUGGAAUAGGACCUCGGUUCUAUUUUGUUGGUUUUCGGAACCUGAGGUAAUGAUUAACAGGGACAGACGGGGGCAUUCGUAUUGCGACGUUAGAGGUGAAAUUCUUGGAUCGUCGCAAGACGAACCUAAGCGAAAGCAUUUGCCAUGGAUGUUUUCAUUAAUCAAGAACGAAAGUUAGAGGUUCGAAGGCGAUCAGAUACCGCCCUAGUUCUAACCAUAAACGAUGCCAGCCAGCGAUCCGCCAAUGUUCCUCCGAUGACUUGGCGGGCAGCCCCCGGGAAACCAAAGCUUUUGGGUUCCGGGGGAAGUAUGGUUGCAAAGCUGAAACUUAAAGGAAUUGACGGAAGGGCACCACCAGGAGUGGAGCCUGCGGCUUAAUUUGACUCAACACGGGAAACCUCACCAGGCCCGGACAUCGGAAGGAUUGACAGAUUGAGAGCUCUUUCUUGAUUCGAUGGGUGGUGGUGCAUGGCCGUUCUUAGUUGGUGGAGCGAUUUGUCUGGUUAUU